This is an RNA transcript of Branchiostoma belcheri (Belcher's lancelet), 1371 nucleotides long. It is a transcript of the gene named low molecular weight phosphotyrosine protein phosphatase-like, with no coding region annotated. The record is from RefSeq and is a predicted model, not a curated record. The transcript has 7 exons. Lineage: Eukaryota; Metazoa; Chordata; Leptocardii; Amphioxiformes; Branchiostomatidae.
GGGUCAUCAGUCAUAGGUCAAGUGUCUCGAGUGUAGAAAUAUUCCUCUAGAUUUAGUUUGCGAAUUUACUCUAAUAGCAGGCUUAUUCGCUGCAACCUACCGGGCCAUGGCUGCCAAAAGUGGGAAGAAGUCUGUGCUCUUCGUCUGUCUUGGUAAUAUCUGCCGGUCACCCAUAGCAGAGGCUGUUUUCACCCACCUGGUGAGAGAGAAGGGGCAACUGGAACAGUGGACAGUAGACAGUGCAGGCACUCAUGACUGGAAUGUGGGGCUUCCACCAGAUGAGAGGGGCCAGGCGUGCAUGAGGAAGCACGGCGUUUAUAAGGAACAGAUUGCGAGACAGGUGACAGAAGAGGACUUCACCAAGUUUCAGUACAUCCUCGGUAUGGAUCAUAACAACAUAAGCAACUUGAAAAACAUCCAGCCUCCAAAAUCCACAGCAACAGUGAAGCUACUAGGCAGCUUUGAUCCUGAGGGGCAAGAGGUCAUUGAAGACCCUUACUAUGGAGAAGAGUCUGACUUUGAGAGAGUGUAUCAGCAGUGUGUGCGUUGCUGCAAGGCUUUCCUUGACACAGUGUAGAGUCCUGGAACAUCCACACUCAUCUGUGCCAGAAAGUGGAGAGUACAUUAAGUUUGCAUUGCUCAAGUAACAGAAAGCAAAUUGUCUUGCAAAACUGCAAAGAAUUUUCAUAUGGUUUAGCAUUUAGUGUUGAAAUAUUCCAUCAUUGUAGAAUUGAAUUGAUGUUAAAAUUAGAACUGGAUCUUUUAGGGCAUGAUCGUUUGCAAUUGGGUCUUACUUUCUUAGUACCAAGUACUGAGAUUAUAUGUUUAAAAAUUGGAGCUGAAAAAGAUAAUCAUUUAUUGAUUAACUUGUUGUUUGAUGACCACUGAAACUGUGUUUAAACUAAAAGUAUGUGAAAAUGAUUAUAGCAGCUAAUAAUGAUGCUUAUGGAAGCACCAAUGCAACUAUUGCUGUUGGCUUGCAAUUAUGUCUUUUCUUUCCUUCUUCCAUAAGUGAGCAUGAUAAAGAUGCGCAAAAGAAGCUAUUCAAAUAAACAAUGAGUCUUUAUUUCACCACUUAACAUAGAUAAUGCUCUGUAGCCUUGAAAGUAGAAAAAUAAGUUAAAAACAAUUUUUAAGUUGCCUCAUAAUACAAGUAUAAAAUACCUUACCAACCCUAUAAAUUCAAGUGCAUAUUAUUUACACUCUGCCUUAAGAAACACCAUAGGACCAAGCCUUAAGAAUGUAGUAAAAAGGGCACUUAACAUGAAAUCCGCACACAUGAUACGGUUGGAUAUGACCAGGAAACUAAGGGCUUAGUUGACGUGGGCAGCCAGGAAGGUUUUCUGUAACCAUUCAAACUUAUUGCUGUCC